This 98-nucleotide ribosomal RNA is filed under the name uncultured bacterium. RNAcentral describes it as "partial 16S ribosomal RNA". The record is from RNAcentral.
CCCGUCACGCCAUGGGAGUCGGUAGCACCCGAAGUCGUCGGCCCAACUCCGCGCAAGCGGAGAGGGAGACGCCUAAGGUGAGAUCGAUGACUGGGGCG